AUGAUUGAUAGCCGCAACCUCUAACUGGAGCUCUUGUUCUUCUUUCCAGCCAGAGUCCUCUUAAGACUUCUCCUCUGGGUUUUGUGGCAGCAGUGGAAGUUAUGCAAAGCAGGACCCAAAGCCAGGAGCUGGAAUUUCAAAAAGAAGAAAAGUGAUAUGCGGCUGAUUUUGUACAUCAAAAACAUAAGGAAGAAGCCAUGCAUUCUCAAGUUGGCUUCACCCUGCCAGCAGCUUUUACACAUCACUGAAGCAGCUUCCAGUUUACUCGGUUGGCAAAGUGGAAAGAAAAAAGGAAUCAAAGAAGCACAAAUAAAUAUUAAAGCGUGUAAGAAUUAAGCAUUACCUACUUAAAUGGCAAUUAUGUUGCUGAAAACAAGAACAUCACACCUGUACAAGAAAAGACAUAUAAACUCCAAACAUCUGUUUGGAUCCACCUGCCAGGCACCUGUUUUGCUGUUUCAAUGCCAUUUGAUUGCUGGAGAUGUAGAGGCUCUUGUGAGAUUUGAGAUAUACAUCAAUAAAUGUGGCAUGACAGAAAAGAGUAAGAAUCACCUGGGAGUGAAAGAAAGAAAGAAAGAAAGAAAGAAAGAAAGAAAGAAAGAAAGAAAGAAAGAAAGAAAGAAAGAAAGAAAGAAAGAAAGAAAGAAAGAAAGAAAAGGCUAA
RNAcentral lists this long non-coding RNA (663 nucleotides) under Pogona vitticeps (central bearded dragon). RNAcentral describes it as "lncRNA (ENSPVIG00000005342.1)". Lineage: Eukaryota; Metazoa; Chordata; Lepidosauria; Squamata; Agamidae. The record is from RNAcentral.